GACGAACGCUGGCGGCGUGCUUAACACAUGCAAGUCGAGCGGUAAGGCCCCUUCGGGGGUACACGAGCGGCGAACGGGUGAGUAACACGUGGGUGACCUGCCCUCAGCUCUGGGAUAAGCCUGGGAAACUGGGUCUAAUACCGGAUAUGACUCCAUGACGCAUGUCGUGGGGUGGAAAGCCUUGUGCGGCUGGGGAUGGGCCCGCGGCCUAUCAGCUUGUUGGUGGGGUGAUGGCCUACCAAGGCGACGACGGGUAGCCGGCCUGAGAGGGCGACCGGCCACACUGGGACUGAGACACGGCCCAGACUCCUACGGGAGGCAGCAGUGGGGAAUCUUGCGCAAUGGGCGAAAGCCUGACGCAGCGACGCCGCGUGAGGGAUGACGGCCUCGG
RNAcentral lists this ribosomal RNA (391 nucleotides) under uncultured bacterium. RNAcentral's name for it is "bacterial SSU rRNA". It matches the Rfam family "Bacterial small subunit ribosomal RNA", at positions 28 to 420 of the family's 1533-position model. The record is from RNAcentral.